AUUCACGACCAAUUUGAUGUUGCUUUGAAUCGUGUGUCCCCCUCCUUCAGUGGGAGCAUCUUAUUGAUUUUGAAUUAUAAUUAAGAAAUGAAAAAAUUCAUUUUUGCAGGAAGUCUUGACAUUUCCUGAGAAAAAUUGACCUAAAUAAAGGUGAGCAUAAUGUUUAUGUAUUGGUGGAUUGAUUAUGGAUGUAUAGCUCAUCUUUCUAAUAUGAUGCAUGAAUUCCUUUGAACUCGAACCACAAACCCAAAUGAGAAGUUUGUCUUCAUGGGAAAUAGAGUGAAUGUUUUAGUUGAAGCUAUCAGGACUUAUCGUUUAAUCUUUAACACUGUAUUUUAUUUAGAAUUGUUUUAUACUUUUUAUGUACCUAGCAUUUUUUGAAUUUAGUUUCUUUGUCUAAAAUUGAUGUUGUUGAUACUCUUAUAGGUUUGGGAAGGGUUGUUUCAGUUUGUAUAAGCAUACUUGUAUAGGAUCUAGUGCACUUUAUGAUGAUUUAUAUGUUAAAACUCUUAUGACCUCACAUCAUAAUGUUGACACUAAAAAUAGUUUAGUUAAUGAAUGUUUAGCUUAAUUGUGGCAUAAGUGUUUGGGAUAUAUUUCCAAAGAAAUUAUGCAAAUAUUGGUAAAUAAUGAAAUCUUUCUGAAUUUAGAUUUUAGUGAUUUAAAUGUAUGUGUAGAUCAUACAAAAGGAAAACCAACAAAACACACAAAGAAAAAGCCACAUGAAACAUUCAACUUCUUGAAAUUCUUUCAAUAAAAAAUGUGCUCUAUCACAUUUUUAAUGAUUUCUCACAAUAUGGGUAUGCCUAUUUACUACAUGAGAAAUAUCAAGCAUUCAUGUCUUAGAAAUUAUAUAAAUGAACUAGAAAGACAAUUAGAUAUAGAGGUGAAAACUGUCAGGUUAGAUAGAAAUGAUGAAUAUUGUGGAAAAUAUGAUGAAAACUGUCCAUAAAAUACUUUGUUUUAUUUUCAAAAUUGUCACUAAGUUUUUUUAUUGUUGUGGUUAGGGAACCCAGGCGUCAAUGACAUUUUCUCCACUAGUGUAGGUUUCUCAACUCAUUUCUCACCAGAAAUAGUAAAAUGUGUUACUCGGCUAAAUAAAUCAAUCACGUGUUAUUGGAAUAAUUACUUACUUUUCUAUUAUAAAAAUUUUGACAAGCAUGAUAUUUAUUCCUUUUAUAACGAUUAUAUGACUUUUUUGAUUUACAUAAGAGCUUUUAAAUUUAUUGAUUUUGACUAUUACACUAAACGAGGGAAUGUUUUUUUUAUAGUAUUAAGAAGUGGAUUUUAAGCCUAACUCAACCUCAUAAAACCGGCUCAUGGGGUGAGGUUUGCACCCACUUAUAUACAAUGAAAUAUUCUCAUCUCUAGUCGAUGUGGGAUCUCUAACAUAUUGUUUUGCUAUUUCUUUUUUUCCCUCUAUUUGUGUGCAAACAAAUCUGACUGAAAUCAAAUAAUAUAGUUGAACGUGAGAAUCUUAAAUCGAAAAUAGUCUUUAUUAAUAAAUUAUCAAUAAAACUAGUUAUUAUUUUAAGAACUAUUCAUUAGUGAUGGUAUAAGACAAAAGUUGAAUAACAAACAAUCAUGAGUGCUCUUCACUCAUCCAACAUAAAAUGUAAUGACAACGAAGCAAAAUAUGGUACCACAAUUGAAAAACAAAGACUCUCUCACUUGGCACAGGUUAUGAUAAAAAAAAAUAGUUAUACUUAAACAUUGAAUUGAUAAAAACACUUGAUCACUUAUUCAAAUUAUUUGAUCACAUGUGUAAAUGUGACACAUUUCUCAAACUGGAAUUGAAAUCAACCACAAACAUAUCUAGAUCGACCUUGCUUUAUAUUAUUAUCCUCUCUCUUAACCUAACUAGCUAGUCGGUAAACUGGUCUAGUUAACAAAUGAUUCUUUCUAGGUAUGCUAAGUCCAAAUAUCUCUUGCAUGUCUAACUCAUCACAAGACAUGCCCAAUGGAAGCAUCCAAUCAAAACAAUGCACCAAUUGAGCCAAAACAAGACUAACUGUGGUUAGACCCAAAUGAAUCCCGGGGCACCCUCUUCGACCCGAACCAAAUGGUAAAAUUCGAAAGUCCUUUCCACGAAUGUCUACAUUGUCAUUCUCAAACCUUGUAGGAUCAAAAAUCUCGGCAUUGUCCCAAACAUUAGGAUCUCGCCCUAUAGCCCAUGCAUUUACUAUAAUUCUUGAUUUUUUCUUUAUUAAAUAACCAUCAAUGAUAACAUCUUCUCUACACUCGCGAGGUACUAGUAAAGGUCCAACUGGGUGCAACCUUAGUGUUUCCUUCACCACCAUGUUCAAAUAAGAUAACUUUUGUAAGUCAUUUUCCUCCACGUGUUUGUUCAUUCCAACCACAUGUUCUAGCUCGUGUUGAAGUCUUUUCAUCACACUUGGGUGCCUCAAGAGUUCUGACAUGGCCCAUUCUAACGUUGUGGAAGACGUUUCUAAUGCUCCAGCGAUCAUGUCUAAUAUGAUAGCUUUGAUGUUUGUCCUAUCAAUGACAUUUUGGUGGUUGUGAACAUCAUCUGGUUGAUGCAUGAGUGAGAGCAAAAUCUCCACAAAAUCUAUGUUGUAUUUUUUCUCUUUCUCAUAUGAAUUAUUUUCGUGGUCUUGGAUUAUCUGCUCUAACCUUUCGUCAAUUGACUUGCUUGUUUUCUUUAAUCUUUUUGUUAUUCCCUACAAUGGUUGCAUGCAUAAAUUCUUCAUGUAUUAAAAAAUAACAUCACUUAUAAUUCCAUCAUAUUCUUUCAUAUGUAUAUAACAACAAACAUUGAUAAACACUAGCAUUAAUAAGUGACCAAUUUACUAAAAAUUGUACAAUUUAUUAAAAUAUUUUGCCAUAAUUAAUUGAAUUUAUUUUAUAUUUGACUAUUGGUGCUUUAUUUAUUUUUUUUUCAAAUUGCAUUCCAUUAAAUGUACUGCAUUUCAUUAACUAAUUAAAUUUUCUAAAUUUACAAUAUUAUAUUCAAUAAUUUUUAUAAGAAAUUUAAAUAAUUAAAAUUGAAAAAUCAUAUCCAAUCAAAGUCAAAAAAUAACAAAUACACAUAAAGGUAUUAUUAAAACUUGAAAAUUAAAUAAAAGUAUAAAGAAACAAAAGAAAUCUAAAUCGUUUAGAAUACGUAAAAAUGACAUUAAAAAUAAAAUAAAAUAUACUAAAAAACUCUAUUCAUGCAAAUACAUAGAUUUAAAAAAAAUAUAUAAGUACCAAUAUAUUAUAUUUGGAUGCACGAUUUUAAAAAUAUAAAAAUCAUGUUUAAGAGUACGAUUUUUAUUUUAAAAUAAUUUUUUUAUAUAUUUCUACAGUCGCACUUUAUAACAUAUUUUAAUAAAUUCAUGCUGGUACGUUUAUUUUAAUUGUUUAACUUUUUUUGUUAAAAUUGUGUUUAAUGGCACAUUUUUAUUUUCAAUAAAAUCGUGCCAUUACAAUAGGCAUGCUUUUAAUAUCUUUUAUACUUUGGUGUGUAAAAUGUACCUCUUGGCAUGUUUUGUGUUUUUUUUUUUUUUUUUAAAUGGUUCACAAGUUAUCUGGAUUUUUUUGCAAUAUAUGGAAAUUGGUAGGGUUUGUUUUUAGUAGUUUGUCGGGAAAGUUUAGUGUUGUUACACUUUUUUUUUUUUUUUAGAAAAAUGAUUUUUUGACACCCCAUUUUUCUUUUGCUCCAAAUUACACAUUUGAAUUACUUAUGUGAUAGGGGUAUUUUUGUAAAAUAAUAAACAUAAGGUGGGUGUAAUUUGGAGCCUAGGUGUCAAAUUAUCACUAUUCUUUUUUUAUGAGUUGAAUCAUCUAAAAAUGGUUCAGAUAUAUAUAUUAUUUAUUAUUGAUAAAAAAUAGAUAAAUGUUAAAAAAAAAUUAGAUAAAUCAUGUGAACAAGUAUUAAAGGGUUGAGAUAACUUUUUGUAUUGCUCUGAAUUUAGUUUCAUUUUAUUUUUGAUAAAAAAAAUUAUGUGAAUCAAGACUUCUACUUUCCUUCUAUCAUUAUUUUUUAUAUAUAUAUUUUUCUAAAAUAUUGUUUCUUAGUCAUUUUUAAGUGCAUAUGCUAACAAGUUUUAGUGGCAACAUAUACAAUACCUGAAAAUCAAACAGCCCUAGCCAGGGCAUGUAAUCUGCAAGAUUAAAAGCUCCAACCAAGUUCAACGCUUCUUGAAUAAGCCUUUUCAGCUCCAAUUUAUCAUCUUUCACACGCCCCAACACCAUUCUAAACACCAUCUUCUCCACCACCUCUGCCACCAACUCACUCAGAUCCACAACCUCACCUGACGCAGCAGAAUUUUUCAGAGACUCCACCAACACUCCCAACUCCUCUCUCCUCAGAGGACCAAACAUCUCAACCUUUGAGGCACUCAGAAGCUGCACAGUGCACACUUUUCUCACGUUGCGCCAGUAUGCACUGUACUCAGAAAAAACCAAACCCUUGCUGCCAUGUGAAAGGGUUUCAGAGACUUGGAUUUUGGGUCUGCUGGCAAAAACAGUGUCAUGGGUUUUGAGGAACAGUUCUGCAGUUUCUGGGGAAGAGACCACUAUGGCUGGGACCUGCCCCAGAUUUAAGGACAUUAUGGGACCAUAUUUUGUGGCAAGGGAUUGAAGGGUUCGAUGUGGGAGUUUUCCUAACAUGUGAAGGUUUCCAAUAAUUGGCAAGGGUUUGGGACCUGGUGCAGUUUUCCAAUCAUGUUUCUUUUGGAACAAAAAAACAAUGAAUGAUAUUAAGAGAAGUGUUAUAGGGAUAGCUAGUGCUUGAAACAACAUUUCUAAAUUGUUUAUUUGCUUUGUGAGAAUUAAGAGGUGAGUUUAGGUUAUUUAUAGACCUUAAUAUAUAGUAUACUGUGUGUAUAUAGAUAUAUAGGUAGAUAUUGAUGGGAAAAACGCGCGCGAAAACAACACACAUAAUCACGAAAUCAACUGCAGAAAAAUAAACGACACAAGAUUUAACGUGGUUCGGUCGCCAACUGCAACCUACAUCCACCCGGACAACUAUUAGGUUUACAUUAUAUCCUGUUACACACCAAUUACAAGUACAAUAAUCUCUUUAAAUAGAGAUAAAUAGAGAUAAUAAAGGGACAUAACAAUUAAGCUCACUCACUAAACAUGUGUCUUGUCAGCCCAACCCAAUUGGUCCUGGCUUCGUACCCAACAGAUAUAUAUAUAUAUAUGGUGCUGGCUUCGUACAGAACAUAUAUAUAUAUAGACUUUCAAAUGUAUUAGAAUAUGUCUUGUGAUUUUGGAGGAUUUUAAUAAAUUAAAUAAUAAAAUUGAGUAAUCAAGAAAUAACUUGCUAUGAUUGUCAAGGCAAAAUCGUAAUAAUAUUAAUAAUGGCAGGUAUUUUAGAUUUUGUAGGAAGAUAUUUGUUUUUAUAUAAAUAAAGAGCAAUAAUAAAUAACUUUUUAUAUAUAAAAUGUUAUAGUUAAAGUUACAGAUAGAUUAAUUACUUUAAAAGCAUAAAUAUUAUUUUUAAUUUAUAAUGAAUAAUGUAAAUUAUGAUAUUAGAAUAUUUCCUCUUUUUACUCUGAUGUAACUAAAAAAUAUGGUAUCAGAAUAUUUUAACUAUAGAUAAUUCCAAACUUAUUAAAACUUACUUUGGAAUACAUAUAAGACAUGAUAAAUUUAAUGUUUCAAUAAAUUAAUAUAUGAACAGAUAAAAGGAAAGUAUCUUGAUAUGAUUGAAAGAAGAAAAUCAGUUUUUUAAAUGUAAAUAAAAUGUAUAUUUGAAAGAAAGACAAAAAAGAGAGUAUUGAGAAUAUUUAAAGAAAAGUUAAAAGAGGAAGAAUAUUUCUGAAUUAUAUAUUACAUAUUGUAAUUUAUAAUAGAAAUAAGUUAAAGAGAGCAUUUAAAAAUGUUUUGGUCGCAGUGCUUUUUCCCUUACACACUGUCAUGGUUGGUACCUCCUUGUUUGCUACCUCUUUUUUUGUCUUGUUAUUUAGACUGUUCAUUAUAUCUUAGUUUAAUUCUAAUUUUUAUUUUUAAAAAUUAAAUUUUUAUAUCAAAUCAUUUUUAAAAAUAUUUUUUAAUAUAUAUGAAUUUAUUCUAUUUUAGUCUUUAUUUAUUUAUGGUAAUUCAAUGAUAAACUCGACCAAAAUCAAUAAUAUAUAGACAUGGGGUAGAGUUUAUUCGUAUUGUGAUCUUCAAUAAAAUAAUAAGCCAAUAACGACGAAGACCUUGUCUUCUAGAUUAGAGGCACAUGGAUCUAUGCAGACAAUAUAUCUUUUAAUACAUGAUACGAAACUAUUUUAAUUUUAAAUAGUUUUUUAAUAUAUAUGACUUAAAAUCAAAGUCAGACGAUUUUUCUUUACUUAUGAUAUUAUAUUAUAAAAGAUGGAAAUGCGUGCCAAAACCUUUUUACAACUAAAAGAGUGCAUUAAUAUCAUACCUAAUAUUAUUUGAGUUUAACUAACCCAAGUACUUAGAUAACCAAAUAUAAAAGCAAAUUGGUAGCCUAAAAAAAAUAAUCAGAAAACAAAGUUUAUAGUGUUGACAAAUACUUUCAUAUUUCUAUUGAUGUAGUUUUUGUGUAUUUAAAAGACAAAAGUCUAAUAUCACUAUUACUAACAUUUUUUUUUUCAUUUUGAAAAGUAGAUGAUAACAAUUUGAUGGGAGUUGAGAAAGAAAAAAAAAAAGAGUUUUUCCUUAUGUAACAAAGGUUGUUUACCAUUGAUCAUCAAGAAAGAGUGUAAUGAGAAAAUAAAUUACAAAAAGACAGAUUAAGAAAAUAUGAUUAAAGAAAUUACUCAGAGUAAGUCUCUUAUGGAUUAAUCAAGAUAAAUGUUUAUCACUAUUAUAAUGUAUGUGAUAAUCAUAGACUCUAAGAUUCUUAUAAUAUACAUCAGAAUCUACAUGUAGUGUGGGAAUCAGGAUGUCCAAAUUUAUGAUUAUCCAUGGAUAAUGUUUUUUUACCAUAAUUUUUAAAAAAAAUAUGAAUUUGUGAAAAGAAGAAUUUUUUAUAAUUAAAUUACCAUAAAUUUUAUGGCACCUCAAGGAGCACGAGUGCACAAGUCUCAUUCUGUUAGUUGAAUGAUCAUGUGAAUCUGUGUGAGUAAUCAACUAAUUUCUUUGGUAAGAAUUGCAUUAGCUCUACACAUGUAUAGCCUCUCGGUCAUCUAAAAAUAUAAAACAAAUUUCAAUUCAAAGUGACCCUUUACAGGGCCUACAUUUCUGCAUAAACGUUUCUUUGGUAGGAAUUGCAUUGGUUUUACACAUGUAUCAGUCUUUCAACCCUCUAAAGAUAUAAGACAAAUUCCAAUUCAAAGUGGCCCUUUACAGUGCCUGCAUUUUUGCAGAAAGGACUCGAGGACUUUUCUACAUUUAUUUUGCAUUUUUUAAUGCUUUAAUUAAAUUGAAAUGCUAACACCCAAAUCUCACCUUGCAAUUUUGUGCUUUUACUCAUUCCAAGGAAAGAAGUCAAAUCCCGACCGAUCUGAUGUUGCUUUGAAUUUUGUGACCUCCUUCUUCAGUUGGAGCAUCUUAUUGCUUUUGAAUUCCAAUUAAGGAAUGACAAAUUUCAUUUUUGUGGGGAGUCUAGACAUUUCCAAAUGGUUUGCCCCAAAUGUAAAGUUUGAUUCAAAAAUAAAGGUGAGCAUAAUGUUUAUGUAUAUUUUGAAUCAAAGUUAACUAAAGUUUGCUAUAAUAUUUGGUGGAUUGAUUAUGGAUAUGUAUAGCUCAUCUUUCUAAUAUGAUGCAUGAAUUACUUUGAAUCCGAACCAUAAACCCAAAUGAGAAGUUUGUCUUCAUGGGAAAUAGAGUGAAAGUUCUAGUUGAAGCUAUCAGGACUUAUCGUUUAAUCCUUAACAUUGUAUUUUAUAUAGAUUUGUUUUAUACUUUUUAUGUACCUAGCAUUUCUUGGAACUUAGUUUCUUUGUCUAAAAUUGAUGUUGUUGGAUACUCUUAUAGGUUUGGGAAGGGUUGUUU
RNAcentral lists this long non-coding RNA (7899 nucleotides) under Phaseolus vulgaris (common bean). Its description in RNAcentral is "long non-coding RNA (PVUL_LNC003701)". Lineage: Eukaryota; Viridiplantae; Streptophyta; Magnoliopsida; Fabales; Fabaceae. The record is from RNAcentral.